Molecule: unclassified non-coding RNA, 423 nt
Filed under: Bursaphelenchus clavicauda
Lineage: Eukaryota; Metazoa; Nematoda; Chromadorea; Rhabditida; Aphelenchoididae
Description: internal transcribed specer 2
Source: RNAcentral
UUGAAUGCAUAUUGCGCCGUUGGGUUUUGCUCUUCGGCAUAUGUGAUUCAGGGUAUGUUUAUUGACAGCAGUGCUUUUAUUUGCUUUCCGAUUGUGGAAUUUUUUAAAGCAACUGUUAUUUACGAGACCAGCAAUUGUUUGAACGCAAAAUUUAUUUUGAUGUUUAAGUAUUUGUUUAUCUUGGACAGAAACGUAGCGUAAUGCUGCUUUCGGUUACAGUGUCAGAAAUUGUUUGUAUGAUUGGGGUUGUUGCGACGUUGUUGUAAUAAUUUCUUUCUAAACAUGCAAGAUAUCACUGGAAUAGUUUUUGCAGACUUGUGCUUUGAACGUGCUUAGUGCAUUUUUACUUGUUUGUAAGGACUGUUCUGUGUGAGGGUCAUUCAUUUUUGUUUGACUGCUUGUAUGGCAGACGAUUUAGUUUUA